Molecule: ribosomal RNA, 475 nt
Filed under: Macrobrachium pinguis
Lineage: Eukaryota; Metazoa; Arthropoda; Malacostraca; Decapoda; Palaemonidae
Description: eukaryotic LSU rRNA
Rfam family: Eukaryotic large subunit ribosomal RNA
Source: RNAcentral
GACCCGUCUUUGGAGCACGGACCAAGGAGUCCAACAUGUGCGCGAGUCUAAGGGUUUGAUAAACCUGGAGGCGAAAUGAAAGUGAGCUCCUUUUUGGGGCAGGCCGAUCCCUUGUCAGGAACUGGGCUUUGCAGGGCUUUAGGCAAGAAAUUGCUUUUGGCUUUUGCUUAGUUUUAGUUUUUGGCUGUCUUUCUGCCUUUUAGGUGGUUAGAUUUUGGGCGCAGGCCGAGGACUUGUUAUAGUGCGGCGCGGGCAACGGGUUGUUUUCGGGCAACCUUAUCCCGAUGUCCGCCGGCAAGUACCUGAGAGCGCAGCCGUUGGGACCCGAAAGAUGGUGAACUAUGCCUGGCGAGGACGAAGCCAGAGGAAACUCUGGUGGAGGUCCGAAGCAGUUCUGACGUGCAAAUCGAUUGUCAGAGCUGGGUAUAGGGGCGAAAGACUAAUCGAACCAUCUAGUAGUGGGUUUCCUUCCGAA